UAGGGUCAAGUGAAUAAGUGCAUAUGGUGGAUGCCUUGGCGAUUACAGGCGAUGAAGGACGUGAUAGCCUGCGAAAAGCUUCGGGGAGCUGGCAAAUAAGCUUUGAUCCGGAGAUGUCCGAAUGGGGAAACCCACCCGCAAGGGUAACCGCUCCUGAAUAUAUAGGGAGAUGGUGGCGAACCGAGUGAACUGAAACAUCUAAGUAGCUCGAGGAAAAGAAAUCAACCGAGAUUCCGUAAGUAGUGGCGAGCGAACAUGGAAUAGCCUGUUAUUUUUAGCAGAUGCGAUAGUAGAACGGAAUGGAAAGUCCGACCGUAGUGGGUGAUAGUCCCGUAUACGAAAUCCCGUUUGUGGAACUAGGGUAACGAAAAGUAGGGCGGGGCACGAGAAACCUUGUCUGAACAUGGGGGGACCAUCCUCCAAGGCUAAAUACUCGUAAUCGACCGAUAGUGAACAAGUACCGUGAGGGAAAGGCGAAAAGAACCCCGGGAGGGGAGUGAAAUAGAUCCUGAAACCGUAUGCAUACAAACAGUGGGAGCGGACUUGUUCCGUGACUGCGUACCUUUUGUAUAAUGGGUCAGCGACUUACAUUCAGUGGCAAGCUUAACCGAUAGGGGAGGCGUAGAGAAAUCGAGUCCGAAUAGGGCGUUUUAGUCGCUGGGUGUAGACCCGAAACCAAGUGAUCUAUCCAUGGCCAGGAUGAAGGUGCCGUAACAGGUACUGGAGGUCCGAACCCACAAAUGUUGAAAAAUUUGGGGAUGAGCUGUGGAUAGGGGUGAAAGGCUAAACAAACUUGGAGAUAGCUGGUUCUCUCCGAAAACUAUUUAGGUAGUGCCUCGUAUUUAACUCUCGGGGGUAGAGCACUGUUAUGGCUAGGGGGUUCAUAAGAACUUACCAAACCAUUGCAAACUCCGAAUACUGAGAAGUUCAAUUACGGGAGACAGUCCAUGGGUGCUAACGUCCGUGGACAAGAGGGAAACAACCCAGACCGACAGCUAAGGUCCCAAAUGACGUGCUAAGUGGAAAACGAAGUGGGAAGGCAUAGACAGCCAGGAUGUUGGCUUAGAAGCAGCCAUCAUUUAAAGAAAGCGUAAUAGCUCACUGGUCGAGUCGUCCUGCGCGGAAGAUGUAACGGGGCUAAGCACGUAACCGAAGCUUCGGACGCCAGUUUACUGGCGUGGUAGGAGAGCGUUCUGUAGGCCUGCGAAGGUGUGCUGUGAGGCAUGCUGGAGGUAUCAGAAGUGCGAAUGCUGACAUGAGUAGCGAUAAAGGGAGUGAAAAGCUCCCUCGCCGAAAGCCCAAGGUUUCCUGCGCAACGUUCAUCGGCGCAGGGUGAGUCGGCCCCUAAGGUGAGGCAGAGAUGCGUAGCUGAUGGGAAACAGGUUAAUAUUCCUGUACCUCAAUACAAUGCGAUGUGGGGACGGAGAAGGUUAGGUCAGCCGGGUGUUGGAUGUCCCGGUUCAAGCGUGUAGGUUGGUUCUUUAGGCAAAUCCGGAGAGCUAAGACUGAGACGUGAUAACGAGCGUACUUGUACGUGAAGUGAUUGAUACCAUGCUUCCAAGAAAAGCCACUAAGCUUCAGUUGUAUUAAGACCGUACCGCAAACCGACACAGGUGGGCAGGAUGAGAAUUCUAAGGCGCUUGAGAGAACCCGGGAGAAGGAACUCGGCAAAUUAGCACCGUAACUUCGGGAGAAGGUGCGCCCCGGUAGCGUGUAGAGAUUUACUCUUGAAGCGUGAUGGGGUUGCAGUGAAAAGGUGGCUGCGACUGUUUAAUAAAAACACAGCACUCUGCAAACACGAAAGUGGACGUAUAGGGUGUGACGCCUGCCCGGUGCUGGAAGAUUAAAUGAUGGGGUGCAAGCUCUUGAUUGAAGUCCCAGUAAACGGCGGCCGUAACUAUAACGGUCCUAAGGUAGCGAAAUUCCUUGUCGGGUAAGUUCCGACCCGCACGAAUGGCGUAACGAUGGCCACACUGUCUCCUCUCGGGACUCAGCGAAGUUGAAAUGUUUGUGAAGAUGCAAUCUCCCCGCGGCUAGACGGAAAGACCCCAUGAACCUUUACUGCAGCUUUACAUUGGACUUUGACAAGAUUUGUGUAGGAUAGGUGGGAGCCUGUGAAACGUGGUCGCCAGAUCAUGUGGAGGCAUCGUUGAAAUACCACCCUGAUGUUGUUGAGGUUCUAACCUAGGUCCGUAAUCCGGACUGGGGACCGUGUAUGGUAGGCAGUUUGACUGGGGCGGUCUCCUCCCAAAGAGUAACGGAGGAGUGCGAAGGUAACCUAGGUACGGUCGGAAAUCGUACUGAUAGUGCAAUGGCAUAAGGUUGCUUGACUGCGAGACGGACAGGUCGAGCAGGUGCGAAAGCAGGUCAUAGUGAUCCGGUGGUUCUGUAUGGAAGGGCCAUCGCUCAACGGAUAAAAGGUACUCUGGGGAUAACAGGCUGAUUCCUCCCAAGAGUUCAUAUCGACGGGGGAGUUUGGCACCUCGAUGUCGGCUCAUCACAUCCUGGGGCUGUAGCCGGUCCCAAGGGUAUGGCUGUUCGCCAUUUAAAGUGGUACGUGAGCUGGGUUUAAAACGUCGUGAGACAGUUUGGUCCCUAUCUGCCGUGGGCGCUGCAAGUUUGAGGGGACCUGCUCCUAGUACGAGAGGACCGGAGUGGACGCACCUCUGGUGGACCAGUUAU
This 2682-nucleotide ribosomal RNA is filed under the name Methylophilus rhizosphaerae. RNAcentral's name for it is "bacterial LSU rRNA". It matches the Rfam family "Bacterial large subunit ribosomal RNA". The record is from RNAcentral. Lineage: Bacteria; Pseudomonadati; Pseudomonadota; Betaproteobacteria; Nitrosomonadales; Methylophilaceae.